GGAGGAAAAGAAACUAACAAGGAUUCCCCUAGUAACGGCGAGUGAAGCGGGAUGAGCUCAAAUUUGUAAUCUGGUGGACUCAGUUCAUCCGAGUUGUAAUCUAUAGAAGUGUUUUCCGCGCUGGACCGUGUCUAAGUCCCUUGGAACAGGGUGUCAGAGAGGGUGAGAAUCCCGUGCUUGAUACGAUCACCAGUGCUAUGUGAUACACUUUCAACGAGUCGAGUUGUUUGGGAAUGCAGCUCAAAAUGGGUGGUAAAUUCCAUCUAAAGCUAAAUAUUGGCGAGAGACCGAUAGCGAACAAGUACCGUGAGGGAAAGAUGAAAAGCACUUUGGAAAGAGAGUUAAACAGUACGUGAAAUUGUUAAAAGGGAAACGAUUGAAGUCAGUCGUGCUCUCUGGGACUCAGCCGGUUCUUCCGGUGUACUUCCCAGUGAGGGGGUCAACAUCAGUUUAGAUCGCUGGAUAAAGGUAUUAGGAAGGUGGCUCCCUCGGGAGUGUUAUAGCCUAGUAUCGCAUACAGUGGUUUAGACUGAGGAACGCAGCUCGCCUUUAUGGCCGGGGUUCGCCCACGUCCGAGCUUAGGAUGUUGACAUAAUGGC
RNAcentral lists this ribosomal RNA (599 nucleotides) under Holtermanniella wattica. RNAcentral's name for it is "eukaryotic LSU rRNA". It matches the Rfam family "Eukaryotic large subunit ribosomal RNA", at positions 52 to 638 of the family's 3401-position model. Lineage: Eukaryota; Fungi; Basidiomycota; Tremellomycetes; Holtermanniales. The record is from RNAcentral.